AACCCAAAUGCACGGAUAUAUACUCAUUUUAUAUUUGAAGAAAACAAGAAUCAUAACGAAAGUUCAUAAUAUUACAAUUGCCUGUUUCAGUUAAUUUUCAAUUAUGAAUGUAUCCUAUCCUCAGUCCUGAAUAGCUCCUGCUUCUUUAUCGCAAAAUUUUACUUAAUUCAACGUGUUUUAGAAUUUGAUAGUCGUGGUGAACUUGGUGACUCCAAAUGUAUUGAUGAAUUAAAUCACAUUGUAAGUUCAUACUGGAAUAUUCAAGUUUCAUGUGAAAUGGUGUUUUAAAUCUUAAAUUUAUUCUCUUAUAACAGAAUGUUAACAUGAUACGUGACUAUACUGCAGUAGAUGAAAUAAGAAAUGAGGAUAUAUGUUGAUAGUCGAUUGCAAGUUUAUUGAGUGUUGAAGUACUGAGAAUUCACUUCUUUGGGCAUCAUUCAUGAGGGAUGAUUGCUGGCUGUGUGGAGGCUAAUGUAAUGAACACUUUCCUCGUCCGUGAUUCGACUUAAAUAGGAUUACUUCGAUAAAUUUGUAUAUUUAUUAGGCCCCCAUAAUAUUUCCUUCUACGUAAAGGGUAUUAGGAUGAGCCUCCGAUGUAUAACAUUGGGGUAUUAGGAUGAGCCACGGUCCAAAAUAUACUGUAAUUCUUUUAUUCGAAAUAGAGCAAUUCGGCAGUGGCACCUCGAGCUUUUGCAUUGAGAGUGAAUCACCUUAAGUCAUUUGCUUUCCUGCUUUCAUUCUCCAUGUUAGCUUUAUUAAUUGCUCGAGGUAGCACAGAUUAUUCG
RNAcentral lists this long non-coding RNA (785 nucleotides) under Olea europaea (common olive). Its description in RNAcentral is "long non-coding RNA (OEUR_LNC012477)". The record is from RNAcentral. Lineage: Eukaryota; Viridiplantae; Streptophyta; Magnoliopsida; Lamiales; Oleaceae.